Molecule: long non-coding RNA, 883 nt
Organism: Cephus cinctus (wheat stem sawfly)
Lineage: Eukaryota; Metazoa; Arthropoda; Insecta; Hymenoptera; Cephidae
Exons: 3
Source: RefSeq, a predicted model, not a curated record
AAUGCUGGCGCCGCGCAUGAAUGGGACAGCUCGGUGUGGAAAAACUGGACAAUUUUCAGUCGGUACGUCUGAAAACAAGAGCAAGUAUUAUCGACAUGGACGUGCGGCACUCAUACGGCAAGCCGAUGUGUUUUUUUUUAACUACUACCUUGGGACAUCACAGCAUUGAAGUUCUAACCUAACCUAACCGAACGAAACAUUUCUAAGGCCAUCGCAACUCGGAAUGUCUAGCGUAAACAUUUUUUUGGAAAAUUCGGUGUGAUUGCUGCUGUAUGGUCCUGGAAGUCAUUAAAUGUACUGAUAGUCGCUAAUACGUAUCAGAAAAAGUCCUGGAACUCACCGAUCAACAAAUUUAUAUGUGUCCUAUGUAAGGUGACCCGAUUAUUCGAAUCGAGUAACCAAACGAAAGAAAAGGGAAGAGAUAGAGGGAUAAGGGGGAGGAUGAGGGGAGGAGAGAGAGAGAGAGAAAGAACAACAAAUAAAAAAAAGAAGAAAAAAGGAGUCAUCCAAAAAACCCCGAUCCGAUCCCAAUCUAUGCUGAUGUGGUAUUGGAACAUAAGCUGGGGUCAAUCCAUGCAUAAUGAAAUUUCGACUUGCAUGUAUAUUGUUUGAUUCCUCUGUGUCUGUGUGUUGCGCGCAUCAAGCACUGUGGAACGUUAGGCCAGGUAUGCGCGGCCUGAAAUGAUUUGCUCUUAUACGUUUAUCAUACCUUAUCUCUGUGUAAGUGCUCCAGCUUCGCCCCCGAAGAAAGGAGGACACAUGCACACGCACUUUUUUUUCUACUAAAUUCGGGGCCUCCGAGACUUUUCUACCCGAUUCGAAUCCGAGAUGAUUGGUGAUUCUUCUCCCCCUCUGGACCCACUAGCCAAUGAUCAGAACGAUU